RNAcentral lists this ribosomal RNA (303 nucleotides) under uncultured bacterium. RNAcentral's name for it is "bacterial SSU rRNA". It matches the Rfam family "Bacterial small subunit ribosomal RNA", at positions 355 to 674 of the family's 1533-position model. The record is from RNAcentral.
UGGGGGAUAUUGCACAAUGGGGGGAACCCUGAUGCAGCGACGCCGCGUGGGUGAAGGAGCGUUUCGGCGCGUAAAGCCCUAUCGGCAGGGAAGAAGGAGGACGGUACCUGACUAAGAAGCCCCGGCUAACUACGUGCCAGCAGCCGCGGUAAUACGUAGGGGGCAAGCGUUAUCCGGAUUUACUGGGUGUAAAGGGGGCGCAGACGGCAGCGCAAGCCAGGAGUGAAAGCCCGGGGCCCAACCCCGGGACUGCUCUUGGAACUGCGCGGCUGGAGUGCAGGAGGGGCAGGCGGAAUUCCUGGU